Bos taurus (domestic cattle) is the source of this 1353-nucleotide long non-coding RNA. The record is from Ensembl. NCBI's taxonomy places the organism in Eukaryota, Metazoa, Chordata, Mammalia, Artiodactyla, Bovidae.
AAAAGUGUCAGACACAACUGAGCAACUAAGCACAGCACAGCACAGACUGUAGCCUGCCAGGCUCCUCUGAUCACGGGACCUCCCAGGCAAGAAUACUGGAGUGGGUUGCCAUUUCCUUCUCUGGGAUAUCUUCCUGGACCAGAGAUCGAACCCAGGUCUCCUGCAUUGGCAGGUGUGUUUUUUACCACUGAGCCACCAGAGUAAGCCCAUGUAGAUAGUGGUUGACCUCAUUUUAGACUAAGGUGGGUUGGUUCCAAUGUUUCCAAGUGCACUCCAAGACGAGAUAAAAAUGUAGUCCUCUCUGUUGUCAGGAUGAUCAGAAAAUCCGUGUGGUGACACGUCAGCAAGCUCAAGGGCUCUGUAGGCAGUGCCUUCCACUUUUUCUAAGAUACUGCAAGCAUGUGCACUUUUCCACAGGCUGAUGUUGAACAUCCUCUAAAUUACAGCUGUGGAAGCCGAACCACGUGUGAGGCCCCGAGCCACAGCAUCCUUCUGGCUCUGGAAACCCAAGUGAAGCACCCUGAGGCCUUCGACUUUGAUGCUUACUGUGAAAAAAGAAAGGAAGGGAGCCUCUGAAAAGAGAUCUUGCAAGACUUUUAAGCAAAUGUCCUCGGAUGCACUCUGCCUAAGCUCAGAAGACACCAAAAAGCACAGCGUCAUCGCAUCCUCCCGCAUCCUCAUCUCCCUCGCUCCCAGACCCAGCCAGGUUGUCCGUGGCCUUAAAUGCUGGUUCUCCCUAUUACUGGGCUGCUGCGUUGAAAGCAAAAAACAAACAGAAGUCCCAAAGUUCCACCGUGGUGGUUACCUCCUCCCCGCCGCAAGUAUUUACUCACUUAACCUUAAGAACAGAUACUUUGGCCAUCUGAUGCAAAGAAAGGACUCAUUUGAAAAGACCCUGAUGCUGGGAAAGACUGAAGGCGGGAGAAGGGGACGACAGAGGAUGAGAUGGUUGGAUGGCAUCACCAUUCAACGUGAGUUUGAGCAAACUCCGGGGGACAGUGAAGGACAGGGAAGCCUGGCGUGCUGCGGUCCGUGGGGUCUCAAAGAGUUGGAACUGAACUGAAGGAACAGAUGUCUUCUGUCUUUUGUUUUUGUUGUUGUUGCUGUUGUUUUUGGUAGUGCCUCUUUAUCCACCUACCCAACACAUACACAGAGUUUUGGGCCUGUAAUAAGUGAUCAAUAAUUGUUGGAUUGGAUUGAGCUGAGCUGAGUAGAUUUAAAUUGAAUAGAGCUGGACCUACAAAACACUCAGAAUUGCACUAACAGCAGUAGCGUGAUGGCAUUUUUUCUGUGGUACAUCUGAUAGCUCUGUUUGCCCGGUGUGUCCAUUUUCCCUUAGCAUAGAACAGCACC